UCCAUAGGUUAAUGAGGCGAACCGGGGGAACUGAAACAUCUAAGUACCCCGAGGAAAAGAAAUCAACCGAGAUUCCCCCAGUAGCGGCGAGCGAACGGGGAGGAGCCCAGAGCCUGAAUCAGCAUGUGUGUUAGUGGAAGCGUCUGGAAAGGCGCGCGAUACAGGGUGACAGCCCCGUACACAAAAGCGCAUGUGCUGUGAGCUCGAUGAGUAGGGCGGGACACGUGGUAUCCUGUCUGAAUAUGGGGGGACCAUCCUCCAAGGCUAAAUACUCCUGACUGACCGAUAGUGAACCAGUACCGUGAGGGAAAGGCGAAAAGAACCCCGGCGAGGGGAGUGAAAAAGAACCUGAAACCGUGUACGUACAAGCAGUGGGAGCCCCA
This 383-nucleotide ribosomal RNA is filed under the name Salmonella enterica subsp. enterica serovar Mikawasima. Its description in RNAcentral is "partial 23S ribosomal RNA". It matches the Rfam family "Bacterial large subunit ribosomal RNA", at positions 163 to 584 of the family's 2925-position model. Lineage: Bacteria; Pseudomonadati; Pseudomonadota; Gammaproteobacteria; Enterobacterales; Enterobacteriaceae. The record is from RNAcentral.